This 425-nucleotide ribosomal RNA is filed under the name uncultured bacterium. RNAcentral describes it as "partial 16S ribosomal RNA". It matches the Rfam family "Bacterial small subunit ribosomal RNA", at positions 356 to 797 of the family's 1533-position model. The record is from RNAcentral.
GGGGAAUAUUGGACAAUGGGGGCAACCCUGAUCCAGCAAUGCCGCGUGUGUGAAGAAGGUCUUCGGAUUGUAAAGCACUUUCGACGGGGACGAUGAUGACGGUACCCCGUAGAAGAAGCCCCGGCUAACUUCGUGCCAGCAGCCGCGGUAAUACGAAGGGGGCUAGCGUUGCUCGGAAUGACUGGGCGUAAAGGGCGUGUAGGCGGUUUACACAGUCAGAUGUGAAAUCCCCGGGCUUAACCUGGGAGCUGCAUUUGAUACGUGUAGACUAGAGUGUGAGAGAGGGUUGUGGAAUUCCCAGUGUAGAGGUGAAAUUCGUAGAUAUUGGGAAGAACACCGGUGGCGAAGGCGGCAACCUGGCUCAUGACUGACGCUGAGGCGCGAAAGCGUGGGGAGCAAACAGGAUUAGAUACCCUGGUAGUCCA